GACGAACGCUGGCGGCGUGCCUAAUACAUGCAAGUUGAGCGAUGAAGAUUGGUGCUUGCACCAAUUUGAAGAGCAGCGAACGGGUGAGUAACGCGUGGGGAAUCUGCCUUUGAGCGGGGGACAACAUUUGGAAACGAAUGCUAAUACCGCAUAACAACUUUAAACAUAAGUUUUAAGUUUGAAAGAUGCAAUUGCAUCACUCAAAGAUGAUCCCGCGUGGUAUUAGCUAGUUGGUGAGGUAAAGGCUCACCAAGGCGAUGAUACAUAGCCGACCUGAGAGGGUGCUCGGCCACCUUGGGACUGAGACACGGCCCAAACUCCUACGGGAGGCAGCAGUAGGGAAUCUUCGGCAAUGGACGAAAGUCUGACCGUGCAACGCCGCGUGAGUGAAGAAGGUUUUCGGAUCGUAAAACUCUGUUGGUAGAGAAGAACGUUGGUGAGAGUGGAAAGCUCAUCAAGUGACGGUAACUACCCAGAAAGGGACGGCUAACUACGUG
RNAcentral lists this ribosomal RNA (497 nucleotides) under uncultured bacterium. RNAcentral's name for it is "partial 16S ribosomal RNA". It matches the Rfam family "Bacterial small subunit ribosomal RNA", at positions 28 to 507 of the family's 1533-position model. The record is from RNAcentral.